This 792-nucleotide ribosomal RNA is filed under the name Limosilactobacillus vaginalis. Its description in RNAcentral is "bacterial SSU rRNA". It matches the Rfam family "Bacterial small subunit ribosomal RNA", at positions 28 to 776 of the family's 1533-position model. The record is from RNAcentral. Lineage: Bacteria; Bacillati; Bacillota; Bacilli; Lactobacillales; Lactobacillaceae.
GAUGAAUGCCGGCGGUGUGCCUAAUACAUGCAAGUCGAGCGCACUGGCCCAACUGAUAUGACGUGCUUGCACUGAAUUGACGUUGGAUUCCCAGUGAGCGGCGGACGGGUGAGUAACACGUGGGCAACCUGCCCUGAAGCGGGGGAUAACAUCUGGAAACAGGUGCUAAUACCGCAUAACAACGAAAACCGCAUGGUUUUCGUUUCAAAGAUGGUUUCGGCUAUCACUUCAGGAUGGGCCCGCGGUGCAUUAGCUAGUUGGUAAGGUAACGGCUUACCAAGGCGAUGAUGCAUAGCCGAGUUGAGAGACUGAUCGGCCACAAUGGAACUGAGGCACGGUCCCUACUCCUACGGGAGGCAGCAGUAGGGAAUCUUCCACAAUGGGCGCAAGCCUGAUGGAGCAACACCGCGUGAGUGAAGAAGGGUUUCGGCUCGUAAAGCUCUGUUGUUGGAGAAGAACGUGCGUGAGAGUAACUGUUCACGCAGUGACGGUAUCCAACCAGAAAGUCACGGCUAACUACGUGCCAGCAGCCGCGGUAAUACGUAGGUGGCAAGCGUUAUCCGGAUUUAUUGGGCGUAAAGCGAGCGCAGGCGGUUGUUUAGGUCUGAUGUGAAAGCCUUCGGCUUAACCGAAGAAGUGCAUCGGAAACCGGGCGACUUGAGUGCAGAAGAGGACAGUGGAACUCCAUGUGUAGCGGUGGAAUGCGUAGAUAUAUGGAAGAACACCAGUGGCGAAGGCGGCUGUCUGGUCUGCAACUGACGCUGAGGCUCGAAAGCAUGGGUAGCGAACAGG